AUCUCUCAUGUUCUGCUGCUCCGAAGAAAGGCUUAUUACGGAAGACAAAAAUUCAUUCUCCCCUUACCUCACAUAUUAUUGAUGAUAUACAGAGUUUGAUUUUCCAGUGAAAGCUACUGAAUUAUCAGGUUUUUGGUAUCUUCAGUGGAGGCUUGCAAGACUGUUUGGUGGAAAAUAUAUUUCUAAGGUCUUGGCUAGUCACCAAGGCAGAAAGGAAGUAAUUAAUGGAAUCUAAUCUGCU
This 241-nucleotide long non-coding RNA is filed under the name Ficedula albicollis (Collared flycatcher). RNAcentral's name for it is "lncRNA (ENSFALG00000020281.2)". The record is from RNAcentral. Lineage: Eukaryota; Metazoa; Chordata; Aves; Passeriformes; Muscicapidae.